This 752-nucleotide long non-coding RNA is filed under the name Bos indicus x Bos taurus (hybrid cattle). RNAcentral's name for it is "lncRNA (ENSBIXG00005003346.1)". Lineage: Eukaryota; Metazoa; Chordata; Mammalia; Artiodactyla; Bovidae. The record is from RNAcentral.
UUACCUGGAGGUUCAUCUCAUUCACUAUAGUCUUUGUCCUUUUGCUCAGGUUUUGUCUUCCUAACAAUUAAAAACCCUUGACAUUAUAUUAUACAGUAAUUUGUUUGUUUAUUAUUGUUUCUUUGUUAGGAUAUAAACUCUUUGGAAGUCUGUCUUCAUGUUGUUUAUUGCUUUGUCUUCCCUGGUUAUGACAGUGCCUAGGGCAUAGUAGGAACUCCAUGCACGCUAUUUUUAGGAUGAAUCAAUCAAUGGGUACAGUACUUUUCAAGUGCAGUCAUGGAAAGUCACAUUUACCUUGGCAUUUUAAAGACUCUUAGAAGUCUGGCAAUUCUGUUUAACCUUGUUUAAGGCCUUCCUGUUUCACAUAAUUGUUUAAACGUGAUAAACUUUUUCCCCAAUAUAUCACUAGUAAAAGCUUAUACAAUAUUGCUCUGUUGAACCUGAAUUGGGAACUCGGCUUUGUUGUUCUCACUCUUUCUCUGUUUUUUAUGCUAUCCUUAUCAGAUUUUGAGUCUUCUGGGAAUCGAGGCUUCUCUAGUUAGUCACCUGAAAACUUCAUCCUUCUCACAUUUUCUGACCUGCCCUGAAGACUGUGAAACCAUGAUCCUCCUUACACCUGCUAUAAUGAAGGCUGCUUCUUAGGAAAACUCAAACAGUCCCUUGAGGAAAAAAAUGAGAAAAACAAACAGAUCAUAAGGGCCUCCUAGGAAAAGGAGUACGUCAAGGCUGUAUAUUGUCACCCUGUUUAUUUA